GAAAGAUGGCUUUAGCUAUCACUCUGGGAUGGACCUGCGGUGCAUUAGCUAGUUGGUAAGGUAACGGCUUACCAAGGCGAUGAUGCAUAGCCGAGUUGAGAGACUGAUCGGCCACAAUGGAACUGAGACACGGUCCAUACUCCUACGGGAGGCAGCAGUAGGGAAUCUUCCACAAUGGGCGCAAGCCUGAUGGAGCAACACCGCGUGAGUGAAGAAGGGUUUCGGCUCGUAAAGCUCUGUUGUUGGAGAAGAACGUGCGUGAGAGUAACUGUUCGCGCAGUGACGGUAUCCAACCAGAAAGUCACGGCUAACUACGUGCCAGCAGCCGCGGUAAUACGUAGGUGGCAAGCGUUAUCCGGAUUUAUUGGGCGUAAAGCGAGCGCAGGCGGUUGCUUAGGUCUGAUGUGAAAGCCUUCGGCUUAACCGAAGAAGUGCAUCGGAAACCGGGCAACUUGAGUGCAGAAGAGGACAGUGGAACUCCAUGUGUAGCGGUGGAAUGCGUAGAUAUAUGGAAGAACACCGGUGGCGAAGGCGGCUGUCUGGUCUGCAACUGACGCUGAGGCUCGAAAGCAUGGGUAGCGAACAGGAUUAGAUACCCUGGUAGUCCAUGCCGUA
RNAcentral lists this ribosomal RNA (615 nucleotides) under uncultured bacterium. RNAcentral describes it as "bacterial SSU rRNA". It matches the Rfam family "Bacterial small subunit ribosomal RNA", at positions 202 to 804 of the family's 1533-position model. The record is from RNAcentral.